Molecule: ribosomal RNA, 254 nt
Filed under: uncultured bacterium
Lineage: Bacteria
Description: partial 16S ribosomal RNA
Rfam family: Bacterial small subunit ribosomal RNA
Source: RNAcentral
UACGAAGGGGGCUAGCGUUGUUCGGAAUUACUGGGCGUAAAGCGCACGUAGGCGGAUAUUUAAGUCAGGGGUGAAAUCCCGGGGCUCAACCCCGGAACGGCCUUUGAUACUGGAUGUCUUGAGUCCGGAAGAGGUGAGUGGAAUUGCGAGUGUAGAGGUGAAAUUCGUAGAUAUUCGCAGGAACACCAGUGGCGAAGGCGGCUCACUGGUCCGGAACUGACGCUGAGGUGCGAAAGCGUGGGGAGCAAACAGGG